UGCAGUGGGUACGGGCAGACUAGAGUGCGGUAGGGGAGAUUGGAAUUCCUGGUGUAGCGGUGGAAUGCGCAGAUAUCAGGAGGAACACCGAUGGCGAAGGCAGAUCUCUGGGCCGUAACUGACGCUGAGGAGCGAAGGCAUGGGGAGCGAACAGGAUUAGAUACCCUGGUAGUCCAUGCCGUAAACGUUGGGAACUAGAUGUAGGGGCCAUUCCACGGCUUCUGUGUCGCAGCUAACGCAUUAAGUUCCCCGCCUGGGGAGUACGGCCGCAAGGCUAAAACUCAAAGGAAUUGACGGGGGCCCGCACAAGCGGCGGAGCAUGCGGAUUAAUUCGAUGCAACGCGAAGAACCUUACCAUGGCUUGACAUAUACCGGAAAAGUUCAGAAAUGUUCUCCCCGCAAGGUCGGUAUACAGGUGGUGCAUGGUUGUCGUCAGCUCGUGUCGUGAGAUGUUGGGUUAAGUCCCGCAACGAGCGCAACCCUCGUUCUAUGUUGCCAGCACGUAAUGGUGGGAACUCAUAGGAGACUGCCGGGGUCAACUCGGAGGAAGGUGGGGAUGACGUCAAAUCAUCAUGCCCCUUAUGUCUUGGGCUUCACGCAUGCUACAAUGGCCGAUACAAAGGGCUGCAAUACCGCAAGGUGGAGCGAAUCCCAAAAAGUCGGUCUCAGUUCGGAUUGAGGUCUGCAACUCGACCUCAUGAAGUCGGAGUCGCUAGUAAUCGCAGAUCAGCAACGCUGCGGUGAAUACGUUCCCGGGCCUUGUACACACCGCCCGUCAAGUCAUGAAAGUCGGUAACACCCGAAGCCAGUGGCCCAACCGCAAGGAGGGAGC
This 832-nucleotide ribosomal RNA is filed under the name uncultured bacterium. RNAcentral's name for it is "bacterial SSU rRNA". It matches the Rfam family "Bacterial small subunit ribosomal RNA", at positions 622 to 1453 of the family's 1533-position model. The record is from RNAcentral.